RNAcentral lists this long non-coding RNA (312 nucleotides) under Gorilla gorilla gorilla (western lowland gorilla). RNAcentral's name for it is "lncRNA (ENSGGOG00000044622.1)". The record is from RNAcentral. Lineage: Eukaryota; Metazoa; Chordata; Mammalia; Primates; Hominidae.
AAUAAAUGCCUUCUGGACUGAAUUCAGGUGGGAGAAAUAAAAGGAAAAUGCAAGCCGUGUUUAGGAAACGAAUAAUUCUCUGCAACAAUCAAGACCAAUUGCAUUAAGACAAAAAGUUUACAAAAUGACAAGAUCAUUACAUAAUUUAUAACUCUGUUGAUAGAGUACCUAUACAAGUAACACUAAGUAUGUAUAAUGAGCACACUGUACAUACUUCAAAAUUUGCCCUUUAAUUGUAUUCUAUGGUAGCCCAUUUGAUUAAUAUGGUCAACAUUAGUGUAAAUUGGCAAAGCAACUACUACAUGUGUAAAC